Molecule: ribosomal RNA, 253 nt
Filed under: uncultured bacterium
Lineage: Bacteria
Description: partial 16S ribosomal RNA
Rfam family: Bacterial small subunit ribosomal RNA
Source: RNAcentral
UACGGAGGGUGCAAGCGUUAUCCGGAUUCACUGGGUUUAAAGGGUGCGUAGGCGGGCAGGUAAGUCCGUGGUGAAAUCUCCAAGCUUAACUUGGAAACUGCCGUGGAUACUAUUUGUCUUGAAUAUCGUGGAGGUAAGCGGAAUAUGUCAUGUAGCGGUGAAAUGCUUAGAUAUGACAUAGAACACCGAUUGCGAAGGCAGCUUGCUACACGAUCAUUGACACUGAGGCACGAAAGCGUGGGGAUCAAACAGG